GAGGUGGGCGGAUUGCUUGAGCCCAGGAAGUUGAGGCUGCAGUGAGCUGUGAUCAUGCCACUGCACUCCAGCCUGAGUGACAGAGCAAGAGCCU
This 94-nucleotide microRNA precursor is filed under the name Macaca nemestrina (pig-tailed macaque). RNAcentral describes it as "miRNA (ENSMNEG00000001795.1)". The record is from RNAcentral. Lineage: Eukaryota; Metazoa; Chordata; Mammalia; Primates; Cercopithecidae.